RNAcentral lists this ribosomal RNA (466 nucleotides) under uncultured bacterium. RNAcentral describes it as "partial 16S ribosomal RNA". It matches the Rfam family "Bacterial small subunit ribosomal RNA", at positions 28 to 507 of the family's 1533-position model. The record is from RNAcentral.
GAUGAACGCUGGCGGCGUGCUUAACACAUGCAAGUCGAACGAUGAAGCCCAGCAUGCGGGGUGGAUUAGUGGCGAACGGGUGAGUAACACGUGAGUAACCUGCCCUUAACUCUGGGAUAAGCCUGGGAAACUGGGUCUAAUACCGGAUAGGAGCGCCUACCGCAUGGGGGGUGUUGGAAAGAUUUAUCGGUUUUGGAUGGACUCGCGGCCUAUCAGCUUGUUGGUGAGGUAAUGGCUCACCGAGGCGACGACGGGUAGCCAGCCUGGGAGGGUGACCGGCCCCGCUGGGCCUGGGACACGGCCCAGACUCCUCCGGGAGGCAGCAGUGGGGAAUGUUGCACAAUGGGCUAAAGCCUGGUGCAGCGACGCCGCGUGAGGGAUGACGGCCUUCGGGUUGUAAACCUCUUUCAGUAGGGAAGAAGCGAAAGUGACGGUACCUGCAGAAGAAGCACCGGCUAACUACGUG